Molecule: non-coding RNA, 2456 nt
Organism: Microcebus murinus (gray mouse lemur)
Lineage: Eukaryota; Metazoa; Chordata; Mammalia; Primates; Cheirogaleidae
Source: RefSeq, a predicted model, not a curated record
CAUGUUCCUGCAUUUCUUUUGUGUUAGAAUCUAAUAUAACAGACCAUGGCUCUGAAGAGAAUCCACAAGGAAUUGAGUGACCUGGCAUGGGAUCCCCCAGCACAGUGUUCAGCAGGUCCUGUUGGAGAUGACAUGCUCCACUGGCAAGCUACAAUAAUGGGGCCAAAUAACAGUCCAUAUCAGGGUGGAGUGUUUUUCUUGACAAUUCAUUUCCCAACAGAUUACCCCUUCAAACCAUCUAAGGUUGCAUUUACAACAAGAAUUUAUCACCCAAAUAUUAACAGUAAUGGCAGCAUUUGUCUUGAUAUUCUACAGUCACAGUGGUCUCCAGCACUAACUAUUCCAAAAGUACUCUUGUCCAUCUGUUCUCUGUUGUGUGAUCCCAAUCCAGAUGAUCCUUUAGUGCCUGAGAUUGCUCGGAUCUACAAAACAGAUUGAGAAAAGUACAACAGAAUAGCUUGGGAAUGGACUCAGAAGUAUGCCAUGUAAUUAAAGAAAUUAUUGGAUAACCUCUACAAAUAAAGAUAGGGAAACUCUGAAAGAGAAAGUCCUUUUGAUUUCCAUUUGACUGCUUUCCAUUUGACUGCUUUCUAUGAGCCCACGCCUCAUCUUCCCCUGUGCACAUGUUUAUCUGAUACAGCAGUGCUGCGUGUUGUACAUACUUGGAACAACAAACUAGAAAUACUGUACUUCUGUACCAACAUUGCCUCCUAGCAGAGAAGUGUGUGUGUGACAAGCCAUUUCUCCAGGCAUAACCUAGGUGUGAGACUAAAAGCUUUCCUUAUUGACUUAAAUUUGGAUAAUGGCAAGGUGUGAGGGGUGGUGGGUUUGGUGUGUGCUUGGAUGGGGAAGAAAAGCUCCACUGACCUGUAGGAGAUUGCUUUUAAGUGGAAUCCAUUUAAAUUCAAAACAGUUAUGUAAAGCAAGGUGAAGAACAUGAAGCUGUUUUUGUAUUCAUUUUAUUCCAAAGAACCUGCGUCUUGGGUGAAAGUUAUGACCAACCAGAUUAAUUCUACCCACAUCCUGUAUUUUAAGGUCUAAGUUUAACUGGCCAAUAUUUAAAUGGAUUGGAGCUAUUAGUACAUAAAGUGUGAUGGGCUUUGUUCCCAGCUCUUUUAUGUCUCCCGUCCCCUCAACCUUCAGCCUUUCAGCCUCUCUUUCUCUCUUCCAUAUUCUUUGGUUUGUAUGUGGUUUCUCAGUUAAUUCAUAGCUAAUAGCUCUUAUUUUCUUAUAUUUUUAACUGCUUAGGUCUAUUUGGAUGUAAGGGUGAAAAUUCAUUUGAUGAAAAUACUUGUCUUUAUUUAAAGACCCAAUUGCUCCUCUGGAGCGUGUACGUUCAAGAAUAAUUAAUCUGUGUAAUAAACUGAUUACUAUAGUCAUUAUAUAUAUAAAAAAAAGAAUCUAAUAUAACAGAACCUGUUCUCAGCCUCUCUGUUGCUUGUGUAGUAGAUUAGCAGGGUGGAGAGCUCCAGAUGUCUUGAUGAGCCAAACUGGCAUUAAUUCUAGUGUCUGGCAGCAUUUUUCAUAGAUCUGUGGUGUGGAAUGAGGGGUUAAUACUUAAAACUUUUUUGAUUUAAAAAUGCCAGGUAUGGGGAAAGGGAGUGACUACCAAUAGGUACCAGGUUUCUUUUUGGGAUGAUGAAAAUGUUUUAAAAUUGAUAGUAGUGAUGGUUGCAUAGCUCUGAGAAUAUUCUAAAAACCAUUAAAUGAUAUAUUGUAAAUGGAAAAAAAAAGUGCCAGGUAAGUUUAAGAUGGUAGUAAUGUUGUCUAAAAGCUAUUAGAAAUAACAUUUCCAGAAUUCUGUUAAGUUUCAUUACCAGAAUUCUGGGACACCUAGCAUAUAAUAUUAAUAGCUAGAGCUGGCUCCUAAAUACAGUAAAUUGCUAUUAUCAUCUCGCAUACUUUAGGGGACCCCAAAGUGUCUUCCCAGGGCUGGCUGUUAUGAUAGCAUAUGAAAUCACUGGCUUCAUUGACUGCAGCAGCCAGCAUGCUCUUGACUUGGUUUGCAUGACUAUUUGAAGCUCCACAACCUUUCCCUGAUGCAGAUAGCAGUGUUUGUAUCACGAGCAGGGCUUCUGCCAGUUUUGGCAGGGCAGAAUUAUUUAAUAGAAGCCGAGUUUAGAGUAGCUACAUGGGCUGUUUCUUUGUUAAGGGGACCUAAAGAAGAAAGAGGAGAGUGGCUCCUGGGCACUCAUCACGUGAGGUUAACACUAAAAAUAAUACAUGGAUGAAUUACUUGCAUUCAUCAGUCACAUGGGAACAUCUACAAUGAGUGGCUAUUACAUUUGCCAUAUCAAAAAGAAGAAAGAUGUGUUAUCUACAAUGUCCACAAAGUUUGUGCCUCAGAAAGGCCUCCCUAAAGACCUGGGCUAUAUGUACUUUUACCACAGUAUAACAAACUAAACCUAAAACAUACACAUCAACAAGAAGAAGCUAUAUACUUUUUUUUUUUUUUU